GCUUCCAGCCUUCAAACAAGUAAGACGUGUGGAAGCAUAGUUUGCUGAGUUGUCGAUUUUCCGGUACCUAUUUGAGAACGCACAAUUGUCAAAGAAUGUUGCUGAUAACCGCCGGAUGCUGCGAACUCGUUGCUCGUUGGUCUAGUAGUCAUUUGAUAUGCACCUUGUUGAUGUGGUUUUUGCUGUCCCGUUCCGUCAUAGUUUGCCCCUUGACCUGUGGCGUAUUGAUGAUCAUAAUAGCUUCCAUAAUGUACUUGAGCAGAUGUCCAUCUCAAUAACACCCACAAAC
Topomyia yanbarensis is the source of this 289-nucleotide long non-coding RNA. RefSeq lists it as uncharacterized. The record is from RefSeq and is a predicted model, not a curated record. Lineage: Eukaryota; Metazoa; Arthropoda; Insecta; Diptera; Culicidae. The transcript is spliced from 2 exons.